RNAcentral lists this unclassified non-coding RNA (323 nucleotides) under Hevea brasiliensis (rubber tree). Lineage: Eukaryota; Viridiplantae; Streptophyta; Magnoliopsida; Malpighiales; Euphorbiaceae. The record is from RNAcentral.
AGGAGUUGAGAAACUUUUCUCGCUGCUUGGGGAGAUGGAUUGAAAAUUGAACUCAAGGUCCUGCCUCUGGCCAUUCCUACUUCCUACCGCAGAUUUUGAAGGUCGGGGCAUUUCCUCUAUAUUAAUGUCGAGAGCCGGAGAGAGUAGUUCCAUAAUGUAGUUUACAGGCUGCAAGUGAACAUCAAGCAAUAAAGGAAUCAAUGUGCAAUGUAGUUUCCAGGCUGCAAGUGAACAUCAAGCAAUAAAGGAAUCAAUGUGCAAUGUAGUUUCCAGGCUGCAAGUGAACAUCAAGCAAUAAAGGAAUCAAUGUGCAAUGUAGUUUC